Molecule: RNA transcript, 290 nt
Organism: Mastomys coucha (southern multimammate mouse)
Lineage: Eukaryota; Metazoa; Chordata; Mammalia; Rodentia; Muridae
Gene name: thioredoxin-like protein 4A pseudogene
Exons: 1
Source: RefSeq, a predicted model, not a curated record
AUGUCGUACGUGCUUCAACAUCUGCACAAUGGCUGGCAGGUAGACCAGGCCAUCCUUUCGGAGGAGGACCGCGUGGUCGUCAUUCGCUUUGGACAUGACUGGGACCCCACUUGCACGAAGAUGGACAAGGUUCUGUACAGCAUCGCCGAAAAGAAAUGGAAGCUAGUGGGAGACCUUCCUCAGCUUGUAUGAGUCUGUCUGGACAUCCCAGCUGUUUUAAAGCAAAUGGUGCUGGUGUCCCACUUGUGCUCUGUGGCAUCCUCUCUGGUUGUGAGGAGUCUGACAGGCCU